Molecule: ribosomal RNA, 497 nt
Filed under: uncultured bacterium
Lineage: Bacteria
Description: partial 16S ribosomal RNA
Rfam family: Bacterial small subunit ribosomal RNA
Source: RNAcentral
GAUGAACGCUGGCGGCGUGCCUAAUACAUGCAAGUCGAGCGAACGGACGAGAAGCUUGCUUCUCUGAUGUUAGCGGCGGACGGGUGUGUAACACGUGGAUAACCUACCUAUAAGACUGGGAUAACUUCGGGAAACCGGAGCUAAUACCGGAUGAUAUUUUGAACCGCAUGGUUCAAAAGUGAAAGACGGUCUUGCUGUCACUUAUAGAUGGAUCCGCGCUGCAUUAGCUAGUUGGUAAGGUAACGGCUUACCAAGGCAACGAUGCAUAGCCGACCUGAGAGGGUGAUCGGCCACACUGGAACGGAGCCACGGUCCAGACUCCUACGGGAGGCAGCAGUAGGGAAUCUUCCGCAAUAGGCGGAAGCCUGACGGAGCAACGCCGCGUGAGUGAUGAAGGUCUUCGGAUCGUAAAACUCUGUUAUUAGGGAAGAACAUAUGUGUAAGUAACUGUGCACAUCUUGACGGUACCUAAUCAGAAAGCCACGGCUAACUACGUG